GGUGGGAUGAUGGGGAUGGCAACUGGGUUGGGAGCAGGAACCCAUGAGAAUCCCUCAUGACUUUUGGGAAUUUCUUUGAAAGUGUCCCUGCCCGCUGUGGAGGCCCUGGACCUGCCUGUCCAGUGUCAGUAGCAGAGGGCUUCUGAGGGUUCUGUCCAGGCCCUGUCCCUCAGGUUCGGAAGAUCAGAGAAGGCUCUGGUACUUUUAUAUCAUUGCUUCAGUUGGAUUUGUAUCCUGGCUUAUUUUCCAGGGAUAAAGUUCAGCCCUGAGAAGCAUUUAGCUGUCCAGGAAUCUCCAGUGAUAAAGCUCAGAGAAAUCGGGCCCUUCCGGAGUCCCCUCAGCUCCCUGGGGUCCCCUGCAGUCUCCUCUGACAAAGGCAGCUCUCACCUAACAGGGCAGGGGUGGCCGCUCCUGUUCUUAUAACCUCUUCCCCUUCCCUACUUCUGCCCCUGGUGCUCCUGGUCACUCUCCAGGUACCUCAAUGCCAUCCCCCAGCCCAUCACCUCUUUUCAGUCUGCCAAGAGGUGGGUGUCCAAAGACCUGGGUUCAGGGUUCCACUGCUGGCUGGGUGAGCUUGGGCAAAUUUACCUGCCUUGGUCUCUUCAGUUGUAGAAUAAGGAUAGUAGUUAUAUGUACAACUAGAGUUUUCAUGAGGAUCAAAUGUGACAGUCUGCCUGGAAGAGCUUGGACAGCAGAAUAAGCUAGUCAGUUUCCUUUCUUUUCUGGUUUGCCCGCAUUUAUUCCUUUUCUUCCCAGACCCUUUAUUUCACUCUCACUACCUUCUAGCCUUCUGCUCCCUGCUCGUCACUAUUUCUUUUACUUUCAUCUUGAGCACGGGGCAGGGUGACUAAAACUGAGUCUAUGGAAAAGGGAUGAAAUGGAAAAGUAGAGUGUCUGAGAACCAUUUCAAACUCGUCCCAUCAACGUCCACAUCUCUAUCAGCCUCUCUCGCUUUGGCUUUGAACCUGGCAGAUCUACCAGCAAUGUCUGGGGAAACUGGCAGCUAGACAAGCAGCGUUACAGCUUGAGUGAGGCAUGGGGUAUGGAAUGCAGCUUAUGGGGCCAAGGCUAGCCCUCAGGGCCUUUGCACAAACUGGAGGAAGUCAGCUUCCUUGUCUCUUUGGCCUGGUGCCCUUGUGCAAUGACCGACUUGCACAGGCAGAUGUGGUAGCACUGUCUGAAGCCACCCCCCUUGGGGAUUUGGGGAAAACCCUGGUGUGGAUGAGCUGGCCUGUGAUAAAAGAUCAGACAAAAAAAGUGGGCAGAGUCUGCACAAAGGGACCCAAGGCAAGAAGAGGAGGAAGAGACAGAGGAAAAAGAGAGGAGAAAGGAGAGGAGGUCCAGACGCCUGUCCGCUCCCAAAAGAGACCAGGGGAGAGGGCUGUCAUGAAAGCCAAAGAGAAGGAAUUUCAAGGAGGGGCGGACACACACAGAGAUCAAGGGGGCUGAGGACAAGCACAGCACUUCCGAUAAAGCGAUGGAGACCAAAGCCAGGUGCUGAAAGGACAAGGUGUAAGUGGUUAGUGCUGGGUGGAAGCAGAAUGUCAACUUUUCUUUUUAAGAAGUUUGGGGUAAUUCCCUGGUAGUCCAGGGGUUAGGACUUUGAGCUUCCACUGCUGGGGUCCAGGUUCAAUUCCUGGUCGGGGAGCUAAAAUCCUGGACUGAGUGGUUGAGUGGCAUUGCCAAAAGAAUGUUUGUAUAUACAUGAACAUAUAUAUGUAUGUAUAUACAAACUUUUUGUGUGUAUAUAUAUAUAUGUAUAAUAUGUAUGUGUGUAGAUUUUGUUUGUUUAGCUGUUUAGUCUCUAAGUCAUGUCCAACUCUUUUGUGACCCCAUGGAUCCCAUAGACUGUAGCCCUCCAGGCUUCUCUGUCAAUGGGAUUUCCCAGGCGAGAAUACUGGAGUGAGUGGGUUGCCAUUUCCUUCUCCUGGAGAUAUUCCCAACCCAGGGAUCCAAGCUGGGUCUCCUGCAUUGCAGACAGAUUCGUUACCAUCUGAGCCACCAGGGAAGCUCCGUGUGUGUAUCUUUUUUAAAAAUAGUUUUAUGUAUUGUUGGCUGGGCUGGGUCUUCCUUGCUGCAUGGGCUUUCUCUAGCUGCAAUUCGUGGGCUUCUCGUUGCAGUGGCUUUUUUGUUGCAGAGCACGGGCUCAGUAGUUGUGGCACAUAGGCUUAGUUGUCCAGCAGUAUGUGGAAUCUUUUCCGACCAGGGGUCGAACCUGUGUCCCCUGCAUUGGCAGGCAGAUACGUUACCACUGAGCCACCAGGGAAGCCUCCUGCGUGUGUAUCUUUAAACAAUAAAGAAACCGCCUGCAGUGCAAUGACUGGGUUCAACUAAGUUUGUCAGGGAUGGAAAGGAGAAAAUGGGGUGAUAUCUUGGUGUAGGUAGCAAGGUUGAUGAAAGGUGUCCUCAGGAUGGUACUUGGUACUCUUUAGCCAGGCUGAUCAACGAUUAAACAAGCGAUGACAAUGGAGUGAGGUUGGCACUGUGCCUAAGAGGCUGGAGGACCUGACAUUUCAGCUGGACCCUGAAGAGUGCUAGUGCUAGCAGGUGGCACACCUGGGGUUUGCCUGAUGUAACCUCUACGUGUCUCUGCCUCCCCCCAGUGUGAAGAGCAGGACAGACGAAAGGAGUCUAUGUCUACAUGCAUGUGGUACACUAGGUUAUGUGAAUGGUUUUGAAAUCCCAGUGAAUGUCACAUAACAUGGCUAUGAUGAGGAAUUAAACCAGCCUGGUAGGGCCUGGAGCAUCACAGGUGCUCCCCUGCCUCCUUCUUCUGGAAGAAUUAUCAGCACGGAGGUUCAAGUCUCUCAGUUUGGUUCAGUUCCACAGUGAGCUGGGGAUACAGAGAUAAAUAAGAAUUAACAGCGAUAAUCAAGGAGAAGACUAUUAGAGGGGACAGAUAACUGUAUGAUACGUGCUAUGAAACGUCCUAAAGUACUAUCAGAAGAUGGAAUAAUUCAUCCAUUCAUUAACAAUUUAUAAGGCAACUGUUUUGUUCCAGCCAUGUUCUAGGCUUUGGGGGUACAGCAAAGAAAAGUCAGAUGAGGUUGUUGCUCUUACAGAGGUCACAUUUUAUGUGUUGAAGGAUUGGGAUCAUGGAGAACCUCAUGUAGGAGGGAAUGCGCUGAACUUCAAAAAAUGAGCAGGAACUUGCUAGAGAAACGAGGGGGUCAGGAGAACUCUUUCCAGGUAAAACAACCGGCACUGAGACCGGUUACAGUCUCCAACAGAGUCCCCUCCUCUGAGUUUCAGAUCUGUAUCUCCUGAACAUCACUGGGUAUGGUAGCCAGUUGAUUUCCAAAAAAUCUUUUUUCAUGUUUUUACCUUUUUAUUUUUGGCCUCACCUGGAAGCUUGUAGGAUCUUUGAACCCAUGCCCUCGACAGUGAAAGCAUGACAUCCUAAACACUGGAAUUCCCAAAGAAAUCUUAAAGCUAUUAGAUUUAAGGCAUCUGUUUUUUUUUCCCUCUUUCUUUAAAAAAAUUCAGGAAUAAAAGCACCAUAUGACCCAGCAAUCCCACUCCUAGGACUAUACCCUGAGGAAACCAAAAUUGAAAAAGACACAUGUAUCCCAUUGUUCAUUGCAGCACUAUUUACAACAGCUAGAACAGGGAAGCAACCUAGAUGUCCAUCGACAGAUGAAUGGAUAAAGAAGCUGUGGUACAUAUACACAGUGGGAUAUUACUCAGCCAUAAAAAGGAACGCAUUUGAGUGAGUUCUAAUGAGGUGGAUGAACCUAGAACCUAUUAUACAGAGUGAAGUGAGUCAGAAAGAGAAAGAUAAAUAUCAUAUUCUAAUGCAUAUAUAUGGAAUCUAGAAAAAUGGUACUGAAGAGUUUAUUUAUAGGGCAGCAAUGGAGAAAUAGACAUAGAGAAUAGACUUAUGGACAUGUGGAGAGGGAAGGAGAGGGGAGUUGUAUGGAAAGAGUAACAUGGAAACUUACAUUACCAUAUGUAAAAUAGACAGCCAAUGGGGAAUUUGCUGUAUGGCUAAGAAACUCAAAUAGGGGCUCUGUAUCAACAUAGAGAGGUGGGAUGGGGAGGGAGAUGGGAGGAAGUUCAAAAGGGAGGGGAUUAUAUGUAUACAUAUGGCUGAUUCAUGUUGAGGUUUGA
Bos taurus (domestic cattle) is the source of this 4110-nucleotide long non-coding RNA. Lineage: Eukaryota; Metazoa; Chordata; Mammalia; Artiodactyla; Bovidae. The record is from Ensembl.